UAAUACGAAGGGGGCUAGCGUUGUUCGGAAUCACUGGGCGUAAAGCGCGUGUAGGCGGAUCGUUAAGUCGGGGGUGAAAUCCUGAGGCUCAACCUCAGAACUGCCUUCGAUACUGGCGAUCUUAGAGUCCGGGAGAGGUGAGUGGAACUCCUAGUGUAGAGGUGAAAUUCGUAGAUAUUAGGAAGAACACCAGUGGCGAAGGCGGCUCACUGGCCCGGUACUGACGCUGAUAUGCGAAAGCGUGGGGAGCAAACAGG
This 257-nucleotide ribosomal RNA is filed under the name uncultured bacterium. Its description in RNAcentral is "partial 16S ribosomal RNA". It matches the Rfam family "Bacterial small subunit ribosomal RNA", at positions 521 to 776 of the family's 1533-position model. The record is from RNAcentral.